UAGGGAAUACAUCCCAUAUCCUAGGUGGCUUAGAAUAUUGUUUCGUGACAAAUGAAUUCCAUAUCGAAAAAACAAAACCCCUCUUUUGGAAUUUUGCAUAUUUUUGUCAAUAUAGAUUGCUUGAAAUUCUUACUAUUUCCACUAUUUAGACCACAAGAACAUGUUGUGUUUCUUCCAAAUAGAUUUGGAAGUGUGCAUGAUAAUGUACAGCACCGCACACCAAUAUAGCAUUCUUGAUGUUGUCUAUAUUUUUUAACAUACUUUCAACCUUUUGUCAUUUAUAAUCAUUUUAUGGUAUUUUGUGACCAAUAAUCACACAACAGAAGAGAAGGCAGAUCUCCUCCAACAAUGGUGAAUGCCUAAACAUUUUUCUGAUUGAUUAUCCAAUCGCCAUUAUUGAACAAGCGCGGGAAGAUUUGAAAAAGAACCCUUUAAAACUUGUAGGGUUCUAAAACCAAUCGCCACAGAGUUCAUCAUCCUUUUUGUUGUGAGUUUCAAACAAAUUCAUACAAAUCCAUGUUUGCUCCAUCAAUUUUUCAUCAUUCACACGGUCCAGAUGAAUCCGAUUCAAAAGUUUUAGCUCAUGGGUAUGGCUGAAGAUCGGAUCAUGGCCCAUUUUUAGUCUAUGAAAAUGAAAUAGGACCCUUAUGCCCUAAAUUUUCAGAGUACUGAUGGAAUAAGCUCACCUAACAACGAAGGGAGCAAGCUUAUCUGGAAAUGCAUUGAAUAAUGCGAAUUAACGCCACUGGCAGUUGCACAUGUUGCUUCUGCAAUCCACUCUCUCGUCGAGCGUGAAAUUGUUACAUCAUUAAACAGAGCUUCUUCAGCGAGGGAAAAAAAACUGGGCGGGAGGUUUAGGUGAAAAGGAGACGAACGUGACAGCCAACAAACGCCGUAUAGAGCUUUGUUUUUUGCUAAGAUCGAGGCCAAUAAGUCUUGUGCACCAGCUGUUUGAUGAAUUGUCUCAACCAAGUGAAUUUCAUUGGAUAUUUGGAUUAAUAAAAACAAGUGUUGGGUUGAUUUCUGAACACACCACAAAUAACAUUUGGUUGGUUCAGUCCAAAAUUAUGAGUCCGUUCUUUUUUCAAUGGAAGACAUUAAAUUAGAUUAGUUUGGUGUUACAAAUACAGUUACCCACCAUCACACCUUCGAUCCUUUAUUCAUAACUUAUACAGUAUUAAAUUGGUCAUAACUCACCUCCUCCCUUCCCUUGCCUUUUUGGGUGUUAUUAUGGAAAAGUCCAAUAGUGACAGCUUCUAUAACUGUCAGAAGAAACUUCCGAGAAGAUUUAGAUGGAGCCACCGAUGAUGCUCCCUCCUCCAACUAAGAACAGAUGCGUCCAUUAAAAGCCUUCUAGUCUAAGUCCUUUUUCUCUCCGUUUAUAUUACUUACCCCCCAAAUUAUUAAUGUCAUAUCUCAUGAGAACAAUCUAAAAGCUCUAAACAUAAAACUUAUUAUCUGGGAUGCCUAGGGAAAUAUAUUGUUAUGGUUAUAAUAAUAGGCCUCUAUAAACAGUUAAAACAAAAAGUUAAGCCAUGCUCAUAACAGGCAUCGACCAAUUUGGUAGAGGAGCCGGGAACAGUUCAACCAUUUAUUGAUAAUAACAUGAAACAUCUCAGUCCCCUCUGACAUAAAUGGGCCAGCAAGUUCUCUCUAUCGCAACCAAUUAUGGCGGAAAAAACCGUCUGAAAAUUUCAUCAUAAAAGUUUGUUUGUUUGUUAUUUAAUUACUUACUUAUUUUUACUGAUAGUCUUUUGAUUGACAUGACAAUAAUUUCUCCUAUAAUAAUUUUAUUCUCGUGAGAGACUAGGGACAACGCACAGCAGCUUCAAGGUGAAAUUAACAGGAAGAGCUUAACAUGAACUAUGGUCUUGUGGAGUUGGAUUCUCCAGACUAAUUUGAUAUGAUUAAUUUUAGUGGGAGGGUUUAUAUCUUAUAUGCAAAUACCAUCAAGCAUAGACUUUUUAUUUUGUAUGACUAAAUGUAUUUUGAAGUCGGAAGAAAAUAAAUAUUAUAAUUUAAUUGGCAAUAUUAUAAUUUAAUAUUGCCAAUUUGAGCACCGUUCAAUCAGGAAAAACUUUGUAUCAUCGAUGAAGAGGUCGAAAGUUUAAAUCUCCACCUUCACCCUUGCAUAUUGUUGAAAUGAAAGAAAAAAAAAGUAAAACUACAUUAUAAUAACUACUUUCUAAGUGAAAUUUGCUUGCUCACUCCUAAUUAUGGACUCUUGUUUUGUGUUUUAGCAACAUUUAAGCCGAAUUUAGCUUUUAAAUAAAGUAACCCGUUUGACAUGGGAAGACGGGCUGGUGGAGUUGGAUUCUCCAAGUUGUUUAUCUGUUGAUAAAUCGACUUGUUAACAUUCAAGGUCCCUGAAAUCUAGUAGUAGGAGCUUUGAGACCUCGCUGAUGUAAAAAGAUAGAGAAAGUGGCCAUUCAAUGGGCAUUUGAGUUAAUAAAACUGAUUUAUUUGGGCUUCUCUGCCUGAGAUUGGGUAGCCGAAAUCCCAUUUUUUAACCUCAGGGCCUACAACAACCUUGAGGAGACGCAGCCCGAAGUUUUGGGCUUCUAAUAAGAACCUGGUAAAGGCUACUACUACGGUAAAGUAAUUGUGAUUCUUUUUCAUGCUUCUUAAAGGUGUGGUGUAAACGGCAUCAGUCUUUCCCGGAUUUUAGUCUUUCUUAUUUGCAUUCCAUUUGGAAAGUUUUCAUGUAAUCCACCAAUAGGCUUUUGGAGCUAUUGCUUUGCUCCUAGUCCUAUUAUUUCAUUCAUCAAUGAGAUUCGUUUUUCUUCCCAAAAAAAGAAAACAAGCUACUGCUACCACUGCUAGGAAUCUAUCUCCAGCCUCUACAGUUACAAGAUAUUACUUUGUAAUGAAGUAAAAGGUAUAAUAAAAAAAGAAAGAAGAAGACUUGUGUUAAGGUAAAUACAUAGUUUGUAACAUGGUUGCUUAAGCGCUGGAUCAUCGAUUGAAGCUGGUGGUUCCUUUCCAAAUAUCAUCUCACAGCUCAUGUCAUCAAAAUCUGCAAAGAAAAAGACAGUUAUUGGAAUCACGUUAAAGCUUCUUCCCCCCUGCAUAUUGAUUCAUUUCUUGGUCCUUGACAUGAAUACUAAUGGCUCCCAGCUACUCGUUACAUCAUGGUGCACAAUCAACAUCCUAAUACUAAUGCCUCUUCUUGGUUGCAUUUUUUACACUUGUGAUGAUUAAUGUAUUCAUGGACAAGAUCGAUGAUUGGCUCAGUGUGAAAUUCUGCUUGAUGAUCGAUUAACGAUGGAAAUUCAGCUUUUAAUUCUUGGAUUAUAACCAUGUAGCAAAAUUAAGCUGCAGGUUUGGAAUCCCACUUAGCUUGGUUGGGGCCUACCUGCAGUUCUUUUGUACCCAAAAUGGUUCGUACAUGGGACCCUCCAUUCACAUUGACAAACAUGAUCCGUUCCACCAUUUGGUGCUGGGACAGGACAAGUCUAGAAGGGACUAGUGCCUCAAACACUGCCGAUUUAUCAACUUGGCCAUUGAAAAUCGUAUUAUAAUAUUCAAUAUAGUGCUAAAGGUGAAGUUCUUGAUGUCCACCAGUAUGCCUCCUCAUGUCAGUCUUUUCAACCUUGUGAAUCUCUUCUAAUUCUGAUCUUGGUUGUUUAAUAUCCUCCGUUUAAAUACUAUCUAUUCUCAGCAAAUUCUUUGACAUCGGUCUUAAAUGGUGGUGUCAAGCACUUAUUUAGUUUUCCAAUACAGAAGAUAGAGGACCGGAUGAAUUCAACACGUGGGUAGAGGAUUUAAACAUUUAUUCUCUUGAUUGACGAUACUUGUCGUAAUAAUAGGAUUUAAAUUUUUAAUCUAUUGAUUGAUGAUACUUGUCUUAACAA
Cucumis melo (muskmelon) is the source of this 3854-nucleotide long non-coding RNA. RefSeq lists it as uncharacterized. Lineage: Eukaryota; Viridiplantae; Streptophyta; Magnoliopsida; Cucurbitales; Cucurbitaceae. The record is from RefSeq and is a predicted model, not a curated record. The transcript has 5 exons.